UAGGAGGCAGCAGUGAGGAAUUUUGCGCAAUGGGCUAACGCCUGACGCAGCAACGCCGCGUGGAGGAUGAAGGUCUUUGGAUUGUAAACUCCUGUCAGCAGGGAAAAAGCAACCUGACCUCAUACGUCAGGGAGUUGAUUGUACCUGCAGAGGAAGCCCCGGCUAACUCUGUGCCAGCAGCCGCGGUAAUACAGAGGGGGCAAGCGUUAUUCGGAAUUAUUGGGCGUAAAGGGCGCGUAGGCGGCCUGGCAAGUGGAAGGUGAAAUCCCUCGGCUUAACCGAGGAACUGCCUUCCAGACUGCUUGGCUUGAGACCGGGAGAGGUGAGUGGAAUUCCCAGUGUAGCGGUGAAAUGCGUAGAUAUUGGGAGGAACACCAGUGGCGAAGGCGGCUCACUGGACCGGUACUGACGCUGAGGCGCGAAAGCGUGGGGAGCAAACGGGAUUAGAUACCCCGGUA
This 458-nucleotide ribosomal RNA is filed under the name uncultured bacterium. RNAcentral describes it as "bacterial SSU rRNA". It matches the Rfam family "Bacterial small subunit ribosomal RNA", at positions 342 to 792 of the family's 1533-position model. The record is from RNAcentral.